RNAcentral lists this unclassified non-coding RNA (253 nucleotides) under uncultured fungus. RNAcentral's name for it is "sequence contains 18S rRNA gene, ITS1, 5.8S rRNA gene". The stretch from base 1 to 52 matches the Rfam family "Eukaryotic small subunit ribosomal RNA", at positions 1780 to 1831 of the family's 1831-position model. The record is from RNAcentral. Lineage: Eukaryota; Fungi.
AAGUAAAAGUCGUAACAAGGUUUCCGUAGGUGAACCUGCGGAAGGAUCAUUCAUAAUAAGUGUUUUACUGCACUUUUUAAACAAGUACUCACCUUGUGUGCAAUGUUUGCUGACAUCGUCGUUCACGCGUCGCGUCAGCAUAAUACCAACCCUUUAUUGAAACUUUUUUGUCUGAAGAUAUUUUGAAUAAAUAAUUCUAAAUACAACUUUCAACAACGGAUCUCUUGGCUCUCGCAUCGAUGAAGAACGCAGC